Long non-coding RNA from Magnolia sinica, 343 nucleotides. RefSeq lists it as uncharacterized. The record is from RefSeq and is a predicted model, not a curated record. The transcript is spliced from 2 exons. Lineage: Eukaryota; Viridiplantae; Streptophyta; Magnoliopsida; Magnoliales; Magnoliaceae.
AGAGAGAGAGAGAGAGAGAGAGAGAGAGAGAGAGAGAGAGAGGUACGGACGCUCCAACUGCACAACCAAUGUCUUACUAAGAUAUGGUCCAAAGGAGAAAGGAAGAAAAGGGUCUUCUCUAUAGUUGUCUGUUUUCACUGUGUUGUUGCUGCUGCUGCUACGAGCCUUGCCAAUGCUGCCUUGAUUGUUGUUGCUGCUGCACCUGAGAGAGAGAGAGAGAGAGAGAGAGAGAGAGAGAGAUGUAUGAGUUUUAACUAUCUGUAAUUGGAUUGGGAUUUGAUUCUGAAGGCUGUGUAAUAACUGAUGUUUUUUAUUUGUAUAUUUCUAUAGUGAUGAUGACGUA